Molecule: long non-coding RNA, 880 nt
Filed under: Struthio camelus australis
Lineage: Eukaryota; Metazoa; Chordata; Aves; Struthioniformes; Struthionidae
Description: lncRNA (ENSSCUG00000012099.1)
Source: RNAcentral
CCAGGGCUUGCACCCAAGGACCAACACCUCCCAUCUCCUGUUCAGCAAUCUGACACAAUGCAUCGCAAGUUUGCUUACAAAGAGCUCAGUAACUCCACUUUCAGUUUACAAGUCAGGAAAUUCAAAGAUCGAGGAAGACUGACUUGCCUGGGGACAUCUAACAGGCCCGGGGCAGAGGAAAAUGACUGAGAUCUUUUGAGCCCCAAUUCAGAGCUCUGGAGCUGCUCUCUGAACAUACAGCUGAACAUACUUGAAAGACUACGAUGAAGACCAAACUCCUCAUGGCAAAAGCUGAUUGGGGACAGACUGCAUGGCUGGUGAGACAUGUUCCAAAAAAAUGCAUCUUCCUAGGAACUACAGCAUAACUAACCAUCGAUGCGUGGUCAAAUGAGAAGAUGAAUGCAGCUGUGUCUGUGCUCUGGUCUGUUCUUGUCUCACAUCUACUACCUAAUCCAAAGGAGAAGAUCGGCUAGCUCAUGACAUACGGCGUUAUUCAAUUUCACAUGAAAGCAGGAAGCCAGCUUUCCAUUUGUCUAGCGCUGACCUGGCAUCCACUGAUGGAAAAGGAUUUUGCCUUGAUAGUGCCUAAACUUUGGAGGAAGAAGCUUUCUGCUUUCAUCAGAAGGUCACACAUGACAGCUGACCUGGGCCAUAAUAGAAUGAAGAACCUGAAAUCUUUUUGCAUCACUGUUAUUGUUGGACCAGUCAAACUCUGAUUAUGGGUACCUCUCCUUUCCACUCCUUGGUUUGGAUCAAGUUGUUGCGAAUACACAUCAAACACCAACAUGAAAGUUCAGACAUCCAAGCGAGUGUGCAUGCAGUUCGUCAGAAGCUGGUGUUGACCACAGAGGCAAAUAAAACAGCUACUCAAGUAUUUGCA